UCAGUCGGACAGAUGAUCGCGGCUGCAGAAAUGCAGGUGAGGAAAGUCCGGGCUUCACAGGGCAGGAUGCCGGAUAACGUCCGGUGGAGGUGACUCCAAGGAAAGUGCAACAGAAAUAAACAGCCGGGGCGGCUUGCCGCCCGGGUAAUGGUGGAAAGGCAGUGUAAGAGACUACCGCCGGCAUGGUAACAUGACGGGCUCUGCAAACCCCAUCCGAAGCAAGACCAAACUCCGAAAGGUGGACAGCCAUAGAUCUGCCCGAUCUGCUGUCAGGUAGGUCGCUUGAGGUCGAUGGUAACAUCGAUCCUAGACAGAUGAUCAUCAGAUACAUAACCCGGCUUACAGUCCGGCUGAUACU
This 358-nucleotide RNase P RNA is filed under the name Lachnospiraceae bacterium. RNAcentral's name for it is "RNase P RNA component class A". It matches the Rfam family "Bacterial RNase P class A". From Rfam's summary of the family: Ribonuclease P (RNase P) is a ubiquitous endoribonuclease, found in archaea, bacteria and eukarya as well as chloroplasts and mitochondria. Its best characterised activity is the generation of mature 5'-ends of tRNAs by cleaving the 5'-leader elements of precursor-tRNAs. The record is from RNAcentral. Lineage: Bacteria; Bacillati; Bacillota; Clostridia; Lachnospirales; Lachnospiraceae.